RNAcentral lists this unclassified non-coding RNA (429 nucleotides) under Hevea brasiliensis (rubber tree). The record is from RNAcentral. Lineage: Eukaryota; Viridiplantae; Streptophyta; Magnoliopsida; Malpighiales; Euphorbiaceae.
GUGGCUUGAUUCAAUCGGGUACAGUGACAGACAAUAGCUAAAUACAUUCACGAUCUGCUCUUACAAACCCUAAAUCUUCCGUUGCCGGACUUAAAGCCACUGCCGACGUCUCUCGUUCACCGCCAUCACGUUCCUUCUUCACUGUGAAGCUAUUUUUGUCAAUCUGGCUGUUGUAAUUCAACUGAAGGAGUCCAGAAACCCUUAAUUUCUGCCCUAGUCCAAAUCGCGUUGCCAUUUGCUUUUUCGUGAGGGAGGAGGCAGCAGCUGGUGUGGUAUUGGUGAUGGUUUGAUGUUUUUGCUGAUCAGUGGAGGUAGUUGGUAAUUAAGAGUAAUUUUGAGCAUGAGUUCAGACAGCAGAAGCAGGAGCAGGAGCCCAAUGGAUCGUAAGAUCCGCUCUGAUCGCUUUUCCUAUCGUGGUGCACCUUACAG